RNAcentral lists this long non-coding RNA (453 nucleotides) under Hordeum vulgare. RNAcentral describes it as "long non-coding RNA (HVUL_LNC005163)". Lineage: Eukaryota; Viridiplantae; Streptophyta; Magnoliopsida; Poales; Poaceae. The record is from RNAcentral.
GAGAAUACCAUCCUAUCAUACUACAUCAUAGUCAUCUCAAAAUCUAUGUUGUCAUUCAAGACAAACCAUUAUAAGCUCCUAGCUAAUUAAGCAUGGUAUCAGAAACUAUGAUCUCUAAGUUGUCAUUGCAAACAUGGUUCUCUCACAGCAAAGCUGAAUCUGGGACGAAAAGCUAGUCAUAUUUACAAAAACAAAAUAGAUCGAGUUCAUACCAGCUUUUCCAGUCUCAGUCACUUCAUCAUAUAUCAUCAUUAUUGCCUUUCACUUGCACGAUCGAACGAUGUGAACAAUAAUAAGAGUGCUCGUGCAUUGGACUAAGCUGAAUCUGCAGGCAAACACAAAGGAGAAGACAAAGUAAUAUGGCUCUUUGAAAGCUAAACAGGUAUGCAUACAAGAGCCACUAAACAUUGUAACCAAUAUCUUCUACCUUGACCCAAAGAAAAAGAAUACUAU